UAAUAUUACUGUUUUCCAUUAUGUAUAUUCUGGGGAUUGGCCCAGAGUCUCUACCAACUGCCGCAAGAGUUGACUACAUAAAUUUGUCUUAAUGAC
Molecule: non-coding RNA, 96 nt
Filed under: Clostridium sp.
Lineage: Bacteria; Bacillati; Bacillota; Clostridia; Eubacteriales; Clostridiaceae
Also listed under: 1 other name
Description: Guanine sequence
Rfam family: Purine riboswitch aptamer
About the family: Riboswitches are metabolite binding domains within certain messenger RNAs that serve as precision sensors for their corresponding targets. Allosteric rearrangement of mRNA structure is mediated by ligand binding, and this results in modulation of gene expression.
Source: RNAcentral